Molecule: long non-coding RNA, 2830 nt
Organism: Populus euphratica (Euphrates poplar)
Lineage: Eukaryota; Viridiplantae; Streptophyta; Magnoliopsida; Malpighiales; Salicaceae
Exons: 3
Source: RefSeq, a predicted model, not a curated record
AAUGAACAAAACUGAAAACUCAAAAAACGGAAACCCCAUCAUCGUUUCAACUUUUAUUACCAGAACGAAACCCUUGUAAAAGAAACGCAGGUUUCGACAGCACAAAAAAUAUAAAAGAUAAACAAAUUCUUGAGGCAGACUGUUUUAAUAUGUCAGAACAUUAAGCAGAAUAGUUGAGCUGUCAAAGAUAUUCAACCUGUGUUUUUCUCUACGGCAUUCACUUCCUCCUCUUUUUAUCCACAUAUCUGAAUCUUUUCUUUGGUUUGAGUGGAAUGACAAUUUUGUUAUUGUUGCCUUUUCUGAUUUGAGAGAGGUUAGCCUAUUGUGUUUAAUGCUUAAAACGAAAUUCUUUGAAUGAGAUGUGCAGGUAAUUAAGAGAAGUUUUGGAGGGAGAAGUGGAAGAAGAAAGGCUUGGCACAAAAAUUCGAUACAAAAUUUUUAGACUGAGCUCAGUGUAAUUAUAAAACUAACAUUACUGAGAGGGUAAGAGAAAAAAAAAUCCGCGAAUAGUGUUCAGCAUUGCCUGAUUGUGCAAAAUUACAUAAGAAAAGUGUGAGUCCAUUACCUGUGACCAUUUUUUUUUUGUUGAAUCAAAACAAAUGAGAAGUACUGGGAAUCAAAUUUGGGAACACCGACAUCAAGAUAGAAAUUUUUGUCUUUCUUGGAUUCAAGGCAUGAAAAUGAUGCAGCUCUUUGUUCAAUAGUUGCUAUAUCCUGAUAUAACCAAUUUCAUUUCUGUCAUAUUGGUUUUAUUGGUAUGCGAGGGACAGUGGACGAUGCCUUUACGACAUACAUUUUCUUUGGUAUUCAGGACAAGGCUUGGAAGUAUGCCAUCAGAAUCUGAUAAGUGGGGAUGGGAACAUGUUAGUGUGUUUGGUGGAUUUGACAGGGGAAUUGGUACAAAAAGGUGGAAAUGUAACCACUGUGAUCUACAAUAUAAUGGAUCUUAUUCACGUGUCAGGGCCCACCUUCUAGCUUCUCAGGUGUUGGGGUCAAAAGUUCUUCUAUCGACAGGUCUUUGCGAGAAGCAUUUCAGGUCCUAGAAGAGGAGCGUGUUGCACCGAAGAAGAAAAGGAGCUCUGUCAUUGGGAAGGCUGGUAAACUUGUUCGGACUUCUCAGCCAACUCUUGCUCGGAAAACCAUCACAAAAGAAGAUGUAGAUGACAUAGUAGCUAGAUUUUUUUAUGCUGAUGGUUUAAAUAUUGAUAUCAUCAACUCUUCUUACUUUCGUGAAAUGUUGAAAGCAAUUGGUUCUUUUGGGCCUGGGUUUGAGCUCCCAUCAAUAGAUAAGCUGUCUGAUUCUUUUCUAAGCAAAGAGAAAGGGAGGAUUGAAAAAUCAGUAGCUCUAGUUAGGGAGUCCUGGCCACAUACAGGAUGCACAAUACUGUGUGCAGGUCGAUUAGAGCAUGAGGUAGCCUAAACAUCAGUAUAUUUGUCUCCAGCCCAAGGGGACUUGUAUUCUUAAAAGCAGUUGAUGUGGAUGACACUGAUGAGGGAGAGCAUGUGUUUACUAGUGCUCUCACUGAUACAAUUAUGGAAGUUGGCGCUACAAAUGUUCUUCAGAUAGUCUCACAUCUAGGCGAUGCAUGCAAAUCAUCUGAAUCCUAUGUAUUGUUGAAGUUCCCUAAUAUAUUUUGGUCUCUUUGCAUUUCACAUUCCGUGUUCAUGUUGAUGGAAGAAAUAGCUGAAGUGGAAUGGGUGAAAUCUAUUGUCUUGCGUGCCAAGGCAAUUGAGGAAUGCAUGAUCACAUAUCAACAUAAUUCAUCAUGUUCUUUCGGUCAAAAUUUGAAAGAGUUGUCUGAUCCAAUAUCUCCCAAAUUUGCACCUUCCUAUUGUUCUCUCCUGAGGGUCUUUGGGCUAAGGCAAUCACUCCAGGAUAUGGUAGUGAGGACUGGAAGCAAUGGAAGCAUAAUAUUGCAGAGGAUGUAAAUGUGGAAUCUGCCAUUUUAGAUGAUGGUUUCUGGAGAAAGGCUCAUUCGCUGUUGCAGUUGUAUGAGCCAUUUGUAAGGUCGCUUGCUACCAUUGAUAUUGGCAAAUCUGUUAUUGGGGCAGCUUAUUUUCCCCUCUUCACGCUGCAGGUUAUUUACUGAAUCCUAGAUAUAUUGGGAAGGGUCAAACAAAAGAUAAAUAAUGCAGGGCUGGAAAGCUACUCUAGAAAGAUACGAGGGUGAAAGCACAGCCAGACGUGUUCUCAGGGAGCAGCUCAGCUCAUACUGGCGUCUGGAGGGAUCCUUGGGAGAGGAAGAUGCCGUGGAUUGCAGGGAUAAAAUGGACCCAGUUGCAUGGUGGGAAAACUUCGGUUUUGUUACACCCAGCUUGCAAACACUAGCCAUAAAGGUUCUGAGCCAGGUUUCAAGUGUUGCUAUGUUUGAAGAGAUUUGGCAAGCUAAUGACUUCUCAUGUCGAGAAGCAGCAGGCAGGUUGGGAGUGCAGAAAAUGGAAGAUAUCUUUUUCAUUCGCAACAAUCUCAGACUUCAUGGUCGAAUAAAUGGGAAUUUAUGCUUCUCAUUUGCCCAAAGAAACGCCUUUUCAAGCUCCUCUUCUGGAGUUAAGACAUGGGAAGGUCUGCAUCUUGAUCAAUCUACUGCGAUGGUAGAUAUCCAUGAAAAAUUAUAAUAAAGCUUUCCCCGCUUCUAAAUUGGGGCUGGACUCCGACCAAAGGCAUGCUUUUAUUAAUCAGCAGGUUGCAUGUCAGCUACCCGCAUUCACUGGACAUUGCUGUGCACUGAUCAGGAUGAUCCUUUUGAGGAAAAUCGAUUUCUGCUUGGAUCAAGAGUGGAGAGGAAAAUAAGAAAAGGAGAGUGUAACCAUUUUAGAACCCGUUUGGGAA